This 425-nucleotide ribosomal RNA is filed under the name uncultured bacterium. RNAcentral's name for it is "bacterial SSU rRNA". It matches the Rfam family "Bacterial small subunit ribosomal RNA", at positions 541 to 968 of the family's 1533-position model. The record is from RNAcentral.
UUAUCCGGAUUUAUUGGGUUUAAAGGGUGCGUAGGCGGCAAGGUAAGUCAGCGGUGUAAGACCAGGGCUCAACUCUGGAAGUGCCGUUGAUACUGUCUGGCUAGAAUGAUUCCGCCGUGGGAGGAAUGAGUAGUGUAGCGGUGAAAUGCAUAGAUAUUACUCAGAACACCGAUUGCGAAGGCAUCUCACGAGGGGUUCAUUGACGCUGAGGCACGAAAGCGUGGGGAUCGAACAGGAUUAGAUACCCUGGUAGUCCACGCAGUAAACGAUGAUGGCUAACUGUCGGGCCUUCGGGUUCGGCGGCCAAGCGAAAGCGAUAAGCCAUCCACCUGGGGAGUACGACCGCAAGGUUGAAACUCAAAGGAAUUGACGGGGGCCCGCACAAGCGGAGGAACAUGUGGUUUAAUUCGAUGAUACGCGAGGAA